This 252-nucleotide ribosomal RNA is filed under the name uncultured bacterium. Its description in RNAcentral is "partial 16S ribosomal RNA". It matches the Rfam family "Bacterial small subunit ribosomal RNA", at positions 524 to 774 of the family's 1533-position model. The record is from RNAcentral.
UACGAAGGGGGCUAGCGUUGCUCGGAAUUACUGGGCGUAAAGGGCGCGUAGGCGGAUACUUAAGUCGGGGGUGAAAGCCCAGGGCUCAACCCUGGAAUAGCCUUCGAUACUGGGUAUCUUGAGUUCGGGAGAGGUGAGUGGAACUCCGAGUGUAGAGGUGAAAUUUGUAGAUAUUCGGAAAGAACACCAGUGGCGAAGGCGACUCACUGGCCCGAUACUGACGCUGAGGCGCGAAAGCGUGGGGAGCAAACA